ACCUUUGUGCAGUGGCAACAUCGUACCCAAUGAGGUUUAUCCGAGGCACAAUUAUUGCUAAUUGAAAACUUUUCCCCAUACCCUGCCUGCCAUGAUGACUUGUAAUACAGUCGGCAUUGGCAAUUUUUGACAGUCCCUAUGGGGA
Small nuclear RNA from Lemur catta (Ring-tailed lemur), 145 nucleotides. RefSeq annotates it as U4 spliceosomal RNA. The record is from RefSeq and is a predicted model, not a curated record. The transcript has a single exon. Lineage: Eukaryota; Metazoa; Chordata; Mammalia; Primates; Lemuridae.